GGGUUAUUUAAUAGUUAUUACAUCUCUCAUGGUACUGUCUCCUAGCAACCAGCUAUAUUGUGCUGCUACUUAGUUCUGCUUAUUAUGGCUUGAUUCUGGUACUCCACUACUGUCAACAUUCCUCUUGGCUUCUGCUGCUGCUGCCAUCUGCUGGACAUGACUUUUAUUGCUCCUCACCCUCAAGUGUUACCUACUUUUUUGUGAAACUGUCAGCAUGGUGACCAAGCAUUUUCAGCUCUUUUGUCUUCAGAGGACAGCUAGUCUAAGCUAAUCUAUGCCUGCACAACAGUCAAGCAACCUACCCCCUCUGUUGGUCUCUUCAGGGACUGUACAGUCCUUAUGACAUGCAGUAGCACCUUAGGGGCUGCUACUAAGGAGAAAGAACUCAGAAAGUCAAACAACCUUCCCUUCUGGUUGGUUCCUCUUUAUCUCGAGAGUUCCAGAAUCAGGAAGACCUGAGUUCAAAUCACAUCUCAAUUAUUCAUUACCUGUGUGAUCCUGGC
This 503-nucleotide long non-coding RNA is filed under the name Monodelphis domestica (gray short-tailed opossum). Its description in RNAcentral is "lncRNA (ENSMODG00000033866.2)". The record is from RNAcentral. Lineage: Eukaryota; Metazoa; Chordata; Mammalia; Didelphimorphia; Didelphidae.